RNAcentral lists this ribosomal RNA (327 nucleotides) under uncultured eukaryote. Its description in RNAcentral is "partial 18S ribosomal RNA". It matches the Rfam family "Eukaryotic small subunit ribosomal RNA", at positions 1470 to 1796 of the family's 1831-position model. The record is from RNAcentral.
CCCUUAGAUGUUCUGGGCCGCACGCGCGCUACACUGACGAAUGCAACGAGCUUAUAACCUUGGCCGAAAGGUCUGGGUAAUCUCCAAAUUUCGUCGUGAUGGGGAUAGAUUAUUGCAAUUAUUAAUAUUCAACGAGGAAUGCCUAGUAAGCGCAAGUCAUCAGCUUGCGUUGAUUACGUCCCUGCCCUUUGUACACACCGCCCGUCGCUCCUACCGAUUGAAUGGUCCGGUGAAGCGUUCGGACCGUGGCCUUUGGACGGUUCGCCGUCUGUUGGCUGCGGGAAGUUCGUUAAACCUUAUCAUUUAGAGGAAGGAGAAGUCGUANCA